UUUCAUAAAAGUCAUAAUAUUACUCUUAUUUUGAUAUUUUACAUAAACGGAAGCAAUAUUUGCAUUAAAACUUCCUGUCUUUGAUUUGGCGGGAGGUUUAGAUUUCGCUUGACAGUGGCCAGUAAACGUGACAUCCACGUGGAUAAACGGAAAAGAGGAAACACCUCCAAAUCAACUGUACAAACAAUCGGCAGAAGUCAAGUCGGACAUUGCAUUGUGCUUUGACACAUGCACACACAUCACUUCCCACCAUGUGCUGCAGGACACGUGUGGUAUUGAGCUCCUCUGUGAAGGGAUCAGGCAGCGGGCAGAGAGUCAGCUCAGGAAACUGUCCCUGCGAACAUAUGGGAUGAAGACUGGCGAUUGAACUUCAGAUGCAGCUAGUAAUUAGAUGACGGCAUCUAAAGCCCUUUUCUUCCCACGAAAAGAAGUCAUUUACAGCAAUGCUAUUAUUAAGGAACCUGCUGCAACAGGUACCAUUAAAUUCAUAUAUGCACAUAGAUUCAGAACUUUACUUUGUACAUAAACCUGUAUGGCCACAUUUUGGAUUUAAGUUUUAACUGAAUCCGUAUUGGCAUAAAAAUCUCAAACCUGGUAAAAAGUGUGUGCUGUGCUGGAAACAAGAUUUCCCGACAGACAGAUUCUCAUUCAGACACCCACAUCGGACAUCACAGCAAUCAGUAAUAAUAAUAAAAGCACACACAGUUUGAAGAUUAGACAAGCCACAGACACACAAUCAGCACCUCAGAACCCGAAUGUCAGCAAGAGAAACUGAAUGCUUUCUGGCUGAAAAGAAAAGCGCUUACAGAGACAAAAAGAGGCUCACAUAGCAGUGCUGAUGAUGUAACGGUGGAAAUGGCUGCUUCAGAUUCCUUGGUCUACUGAUCUCAAGACCACACUCAAAAAAGGUGUUGUGACAGCUCCACUUUAGGUGCUGUUUGAGAAAGUGUGUGAUUUUGACAAACAAUUGUGAAGCACUAUCAUAGAGAACACUCUUACCGCCGCUAUUUACUGUUA
Long non-coding RNA from Megalobrama amblycephala (Wuchang bream), 1017 nucleotides. RefSeq lists it as uncharacterized. The transcript is spliced from 4 exons. The record is from RefSeq and is a predicted model, not a curated record. Lineage: Eukaryota; Metazoa; Chordata; Actinopteri; Cypriniformes; Xenocyprididae.